UAGGGAAUCUUCCGCAAUGGACGAAAGUCUGACGGAGCAACGCCGCGUGAGUGAUGAAGGGUUUCGGCUCGUAAAGCUCUGUUAUGAGGGAAGAACACGUACCGUUCGAAUAGGGCGGUACCUUGACGGUACCUCAUCAGAAAGCCACGGCUAACUACGUGCCAGCAGCCGCGGUAAUACGUAGGUGGCAAGCGUUGUCCGGAAUUAUUGGGCGUAAAGCGCGCGCAGGCGGCCUUUUAAGUCUGAUGUGAAAUCCUGCGGCUCAACCGCAAGCGGCCAUUGGAAACUGGGAGGCUUGAGUACAGAAGAGGAGAGUGGAAUUCCACGUGUAGCGGUGAAAUGCGUAGAUAUGUGGAGGAACACCAGUGGCGAAGGCGACUCUCUGGUCUGUAACUGACGCUGAGGCGCGAAAGCGUGGGGAGCAAACAGGAUUAGAUACCCUGGUAGUCCACGCCGUAAACGAUGAGUGCUAGGUGUUAGGGGUUUCGAUGCCCG
This 495-nucleotide ribosomal RNA is filed under the name uncultured Bacillota bacterium. RNAcentral describes it as "bacterial SSU rRNA". It matches the Rfam family "Bacterial small subunit ribosomal RNA", at positions 355 to 840 of the family's 1533-position model. Lineage: Bacteria; Bacillati; Bacillota. The record is from RNAcentral.